CUGAGAGGGUGAACGGCCACAUUGGGACUGAGACACGGCCCAACUCCUACGGGGGGCAGCAGUGGGGGAUAUUGCACAAUCGGGGAAACCCUGAUGCAGCGACGCCGCGUGAGAGGAAGAAGUAUUUCGGUAUGUAAAAUUCUAUCAGCAGGGAAGAUAAUGACGGUACCUGACUAAGAAGCCCCGGCUAACUACGUGCCAGCAGC
RNAcentral lists this ribosomal RNA (206 nucleotides) under uncultured Lachnospiraceae bacterium. Its description in RNAcentral is "partial 16S ribosomal RNA". It matches the Rfam family "Bacterial small subunit ribosomal RNA", at positions 292 to 515 of the family's 1533-position model. Lineage: Bacteria; Bacillati; Bacillota; Clostridia; Lachnospirales; Lachnospiraceae. The record is from RNAcentral.